Molecule: long non-coding RNA, 245 nt
Filed under: Prunus persica (peach)
Lineage: Eukaryota; Viridiplantae; Streptophyta; Magnoliopsida; Rosales; Rosaceae
Description: long non-coding RNA (PPER_LNC008677)
Source: RNAcentral
UGGUGGAUUAGCUCAAGAUAACUACUUAGCUUGCGUGAUUUAUUUGCUUGAGUGACUAGAGAGGCUUGAUUUUGCAUGAUUGUGGUUUGCAAGAGUUGCAUUGAUUUUGCAUGAUUGUGGUUUGCAAGAGUUGCAUUGACUUGUGUGUCUAAUAUUAGUUAUGUACGUUUGAUUUUAGCUUGCACGUUUGGCUUUUACUUGUAUAUUUGGAAUUGGCGUGUAUGCUUGAUGUUGGCAUGUAUUCU